This is a non-coding RNA of Paramuricea clavata, 1462 nucleotides long. The record is from the annotation of a GenBank genome assembly. NCBI's taxonomy places the organism in Eukaryota, Metazoa, Cnidaria, Anthozoa, Malacalcyonacea, Plexauridae.
UCUUUCCAUGCUUGCCCAAAUCUAAAAAUGGCUUCGAUACGGAAAUCCCUCUCCCCCAUGCUCUGGCAAAGGAAGGGUGCAGGGUGUUCACCUAAUUGCUUCUCCAGUAAAUCAAUCUAGCUUUAAUAUGCAGAGACUGCCGUUUGGUUCAUUUUACAUGUCAGGCAAUAAGGAAUCUGAUGUCUUUAUUUCGAAUUCUCUCACUCCGCAAGCUGCCAUGUUUGUACCUAAUUAAGUUGAAAUUAAUAUUGGUUGUGUUUGUUUUGGCCAUGACAUUUAGCGUUGGCAUUCGGUGAGCAUUUGAACGCAGAUAAAGGUACGUUUGGCAUAAAAAACACUCUGCAAACCAAAAUGUUGUUUGACUGCAAGUAAAACUGACUUACAACUUUCAAUUUCCACAAGCAUUCUUAUUCCAAAUUGAACUUUUAUCAUAUACGGAGGAACGUGGACUAGAAAACUUUGCCAUUGCCUGCUUCAAUUGAUUUACUCUCUAACCCUGAAAUUACUGUUUCCAGCUUACGCGUUUCGUGCAUAGUCGAAAAAGCUUUUUAUUUCAAAGGCGGACGGGAGGAGAAUAUUGAACAUUUUUCCUUCUUCAUUAAAUGGAAAUUGUCCUUAAAGUUGAAACCUUUUUGAUACGAAAAAUGAGACUGAAUGUCUGGCGUGAGACGAGGAUUAUGAUCUCGUUAACCUAACGGUUGUGAGCAAAAGAGCUUGAAAAUAUAAUCUAAUCAACGCAGUUUGGAAAGGUCCAAUUGGAAGAGGUCUAAUUGGAAGUUGUCCAAUUAUUAGAUUUCCUGCAAUGAAUAUCAGAAUAACAAUUGGUAUUGUCUCGGUUGGAUUGGGGUUAUGAGCAAUUAUCUUUCAUACAAUCAUGACCUUAGGCAGGACCUAAACAAAGCUAUUUAAGAACAUGCUCAUUUCAGCCAAGCCUUGAAAACGGCUUUUGUGUUGAAAUUUUCAUCCCACUAAUGAGAGAUGCAAUGCCAUCCCGAGAUGCAAUGCCAGAAUCCUGUCUACAGUUCGCCACAAGUUGUAGUUUUUUUCCUCAUUUGCGGAUACUCCAGUAAUGUGAGCAAUGGAUUUCACUAAAAUACUCAAGCGCUAUUCAAACCGUGGUAUUUGAUAACCUAAAAUUGAAAACAAAAUAGGCCUACAAUUUGCAGGAAAUUCUCGUGCUGCGUGUAAAACCAUGUUAAUUAUUUGUUAACCAAAUAAUUAAGAUUGUUUUUAAAGAAUAUGAUGCGAAGCUAGCCAGGGCGACUGGUCAACCUAUGCUAUUAAACCUGCAUCUGAAUAGACUAAAUACGUUGGAAAUAUGCAAAUCAUAAAAAUUUCGAUUCUAUUACCUGUUGCUAUGGCUAGCUCGCCACUGAAAAUCUCUAAUGCAUGAUUGGAUUCAGUACAUAAGAAAUCAAUAAUACAUCAGUAGUUUAGUGUAAGGAUAUUUCCAAAAUAAGCG